CCACUGAGCGAUAAACUUGUACAAGGCAGAAGUAAAUCAAGAAGGUGUGUGAUUCCGUGGCAUAUCCAAUGGUUAAAACCACCUUCAGAUGCCACUUCUUGCAUUCCUAGUGAAUUAGAAACCUAUCGCCUAUCAGAAAGGUCUUUAAAAAAUCAGCCACGAAGACUCUAAACCAUGCUCAAACUCUAGUAAAAAUCUCGAUCACCAUUGUGGAAAACAAUUCAUAGAAGUUCAUUGCUGUUUUAAUCAUUUUAUAACAAAGUUUCAUUCAUCCAUCCAUAAGCAAUAUAUUAAAGUAAAGAAGUCAAAUACAACACAAAAUUAAAGCCAACAGAAUACUAAAAGCAGAAGCAGUCUUAAAACCAUACAAGAUGAAACAUUCCCUAAUACACAUCCCUCAUCCCCACAGCUUCACGCAGCACAAAGCCAUAAGCAUCAUAGGCAUGUACCAGUAGAAAAAAGAUCCAUCUUGUCCAAGCCCGCAGCCUACUUGGAUCUCUGCCUCAUCUUUCUGCGCUUCCUCUUCAACCUCCUCAUACGCUUCUUCUUCCACUGAAAAGAACAAAAAAUAACAAAACAAUUAGCCUCCUCACAAUUUAGUCACCAAAACACAAGGCACCAGCAACAACACAAACACAACCACAAACACCUUCCGAAACAGAUCCCAAGAAUUCCACAGCGGUCACAAACUCAAAAACGCUUUACAUGUUUAAAUAGGCACCAAGUCUUGAAAGAAUCAAUGGAUCUCAAAUCAAACAAACCAAGUUACACGAAACAAAGGCACUAAGACCAGCAAAAGAAAAAACUGUAAGGCAAACUCAACAUCGCAUAAAAAUAGUGUCUAAACAGCAUUAAUAACAUGUAAAUUCCAAGAUUAACGAAAUCAUUUGGCAAAAUCUCUUGUUUCGUAAAAAAAGAAGCAAAAACAAGCAUUCUUCCAACCUAACAAAUCACAAGUUUUAGACAAGAAAAGCACACAGAUUUGAUUAGCUAGCUAAAAACUAAAACCCCAGAUUACAAACAUAGAGAAAGAUUCCACAGGAAUAAAAAAGAAACGAACUUGAAGCAGAGAUUUAAGAAACCAUGAUCACUAUAUAUACCAGAUUAGAUAAUCUAAACAACACCCGUUGCACAGAAUCAUUCUGAGUUAACACCCAUUAAGGGUAAUAAAGAGAGGAGGACAUACCUUAGCUCUCAUCCUGGAUCAGAGGUAUCUGUUUCCUUGUAGAUCUCUUUCUCAAUUAGCCGAUGUAGAGUGGAUGAGAUUCCUUGAGAGUGAAUUCUUGAGAGAAAGAUGGGGUUCUAUGCAUUUUAUAGGCACAGGGUUUUUAGGGUUUGAGAGUCACGGUUGAGGGGUAUUCUUGUCCAAUAUGUUUGCUCUUUUUUCUUUCUUUUCCUUUUCUCUUUUUUGUGAUAUUAUUUAGCAAUUUUUGAAGGAAUUGAACCUUGUCAAUUCUAUUAUGGUUUUAUGCUGUAUUUUUUAAUAUUAUGACGUCACCAUUAUCUAAUCUCUGGCAAAAUCAACAAAUUAAGAACUUCUAACAGUGGGAGUGGAAAAAAAUUAGGCUAGUUGCAACUUCCAGCAUUGUAUUAUUUUUAAAAUUCUUUUUUUACAGUGCUAGUUAUUUUUUUACUGUACUAUUUUGAAAAAAAAAAAACUCUUAAUAAUUAGUUAAUCUGUUUAUUUAGCAUGGCCUGUAAAAGAGAAGAAGCCCAUAAUGGGCCAGACCAAAUACUCAAGAAGAAGCCCAUAAUGGGCCAGACCAAAUACUCAAGAAGAAGCCCAUAAUGGGCCAGACCAAAUACUCAAGAAGAAGCCCAUUCGGAAAUCCAAUUCCCUCAUAAAUGCCAUUUCCUUCCCCUGGGAAAGGAAUUCCACUCCACUGAAACAGAGCGAAGGGAAAGGGCUCUCUUGCUGACUGGCAUCAUAGAUGGACCCAUCAGUUUCUACGGGUGAAAAUCCGGAUUCCAACGAAAAUAAUCCUCAAGAAUCUGAAUCUGAAUCCAAUAACAGCCGCAGUGAUGCAUUAGGCAAGGCUUUAUCAACGAUGCUGGCCAAUGUUAUUAAGGAUCUCGACUCUAAAGCUCAAGACACUCUCAAUAGCCAAGAUAAACUUAAUUCUGCUAUUGAUCGUCUUACUAGAGGUAAAUUCUUCUUCCUUUUUAAUCUCAUUAUGGUCUUGUAAUUCUAUGCUUUUAGAAAAGGUGCUUGAGAUUGUAAUUCUAUGCUUUUAGAAAAGGUGCUUGAGAUAAGAUAAGUAGCUUCUUCUCCUCGGCUUUUUUCUACUUGUAAUGUUUGCAAGUCACCUGGUUUUGCUAUAAAAUUUUAUUUUUAGGCCUUCUUGGGUUGCUAAAAUGAGACCCUUUUGAUGGGUUUUUGUUUCCAAAGUGAUUUCUUUUCUUUUGGAGAAAUGCUUUUGAUCAAUUUAGAAAUGGACUCAGUAUCAUAAAUGGUCAGUUUAAUCUGUCUCUGUAAUGUGAUUAGUAAAGAUUUUGCUACACAUCAGCUGUUUUUUUUAUGCUACUGAAUACACAACUGUGAUUUGAUGCUAGCAACAAGUGGAAUAGUUAUUAGACUUUCUCAUUUUCUUUAUUAAUUAUUUGAUGGAUUUAACAUGAGUUUUUUCAUGCCCACAUACCUGGUUAUCUUUUGGAGUAUGUAAUAUUUAAUAAACAAAUAUACGACGACAACAUCUAUAAUUAUAUUGAAAGAAUGGAGCAGCUCAUUGAGCUCCAGUAUCAAGCAGUUCAAAUCAAGACGGACAAAGCUUCCCAUAGUGCAUGCAAUUUGAAUUGGUCUUUAUUCUUUUUCUGCAUUGAUCCUUAAGGUGAUUGAUUAUUCUAUAUUAUGGAGCAUUUGAGUCUGGAUCAUCGAUAAAAAAAAUUGUGUUUUCAGAGCUUGAUCAGUUGUUGGAAGAUGCACCCUUGCCGUUUAUCAUGCAGCAUGCAGCAAAGAUUUCAGGUGUUCGAAAGAGAGUUUCAUCAUUGAAUUCUGUUCUAAAAUCAAUACAGAAACGUGUUGACAAUAUAGACCGACUGCUAUCUGUGGGCAUGCUUCAGGGUACCUAUAUCUCUUCUUAUGUUGCAUGAUCUAUUUUUAUAUCAUUCCUUUAAGUUUCUUCAUCUACAAAUUCUAUUGUUAUAUGUCAGUGCUUAUAUCAAAAUACUUUGCAAAUUUGUUUAUGUAGUUUUGUUGCUGUUGCGUCAUGUGUUUUGAAGUCAUAAAGUUGGAUAUAAUUUGCAGGGAAGACAACUAUGGACAGUUCAUCGCAACACUAGUACUAGUCUUGAAGGCUCAGGUACCUUAUUUAGUUAUGGUUUCCUAUUGUGUGGUUUGUGCAUCAUUUUCUGCCGUAAGGGGCAGUGACUAUAGGAUUAUGAACCGAUAUAUCUCCCAGAAGUUUUGCUGCUAAACUAAGGUUUACCAAAUGCAAAUGCAUGUGUUUUAUAUGUUUAGAUGGCAUCCAGUUCCACAAGUUAAGAUCAAGGGGGAAUGCUUAUCAAUCAAUAUCAACAAAACUCAGCCUUGACUCAAGAACAUGCUAUUAAAUUCCAUAGAAUGUUUUGAUUUUUGUUGAUUUAAUUGAAAUUACUCUGUUGAUUUAUAAAAUCCAAUUAAUGCUCCUCUCUAAUUCUACCUAUAUCAUCAGGUUAGCUUGUAAAGGGCAUCAUCACAUAAAGCUUUUUUCACAGAAGCCAUGAAAAGCCUCUCAAUUUUCACCAUUCUUCUGCUUGUCAUCUUCAUUCUUCCAGAUAAAUAUUUCCCAUUUGGUUUUAAAACUAUGUGCACACCUCUUUUCAAAAAAAUAAUUAGAAGUGGAGACCUAUAUAGAGGCUAUUUAUUUUUACAUUUGAAACUGUGUUAAUGUGUUUUUAAAGUGAAUUUGGUAUGAAAAAACAUUAAAUUUGUAUUUUUUUUUAGUGUUUUCUGAUGAUUUUGAUGUACUUGAUGUUAAAAAUAAAAACAAAUCUGAUUUUUUUUUUAUUUUAAUGUAUUUUUAAGGGAAAAAUACUUUUGAAAAACAAAUGUUAUAAAGCCAUUGCAGGCUUUGUAGCCAUCCUGCAUAGCAAUCAUGUUUUUUUUUCUAAUGACUAGCAGGGAAUAGAAACUCUCAUCUAACAAUAUUUCGAUGAUUUUGUAAACACAGAACUCCAUGUAACUCACACAAGCUUAUGGUAAUAUUUGUGGAUAUUGUUGAAUCCAUGCAGGCGAGGAGGAGAACGUUGAAGGUGGUUCUAGCCUUGUUAUGUGUGACGAGAAGCUAUGGGGAGGUGGCUGCAAUGACUCACAAUGCCAUGCUGCUUGUGUACAAAAAAGACCGGCAGAAGGUGCUCGUGGGUUUUGCUUGACAAUUGAAAACCCUAACGACUCUUGUAUUUGUCGUUACCCUUGCUAAAAAAGUUACCAACAUGUUUAUGCUUCAUUGAAUUUUAUCCGUCGAAGGAGCUGAUGUUAAACUGAAUGCAAUAAAUCUUCAUAAGAAAAUUGCUUUGUAAUGGUAAAUAUAAUUUAAAAUCAAUUCAAGAAUAUUUUUACUGUUUAAAUAAUAAUAAUAAUUAUUAUUACUAUUAUUAUUAUUAUUAUUAUUAUGUAAUGACAGCAACAUUUAUUGUUCUAAUUAUUAAAAAAUUAUAUAAAUCAAUUUUUCUCUACAUGAUAUCAAGAUCUUGUUGACCAAGUGAUCACGAAUUUGAAUUUUAUUAUUUUAUUUUAUUUGAUAAAAAUUAAAUACAAGAUACUUUAAUUUUAAAAAAAUAUCAAGCUUAUUUUGUUCUAUUUUAAUAAAAAGAAAUCUAUACAGGUUUGAAAAGUUUUCAUUUAAAAAUAUGAAGAAUAGUUAUAUGAAAGACUAUUAUAUGUUUUGGGUAAUACCAUUUACUAUUUUUUUUUUUUUUGAGUUAAUAAGAUUUUACUUGUUAGUUUUGGGUAAUACCAUUUACUAUUUUUUUUUUUUUUUGAGUUAAUAAGAUUUUACUUGUUACUUAUUUUUUAAAAAUAUUAUUUUCCUAGCAUUUUAUUUUUUAUUUUUUUAUUUAUUGAGAAAUAACAUAUUUUUUAUAGCAUGAAGAGUAAAAAAAAAAUUAGCCAUAGGCAGGCCUAGAACCCAUUCCCCCAAGAGAUUUUUCUGAAGUUGGGCUUAACAAACCCACGAAACCUCCAAACCCUAAAAACCCUAAUAUCCCUCUUUAAAUACACCCCCCGUUUCUUGUUCAGCCACACAAACCUGCCCACAGGUCAUCUCUCUGUUCUUGCUAGAUCAACCGUGUCUUUCUCUCCCAUCAACUUUUUCUUUGCAAUGUUGUGAUGCGUUUUGAUAAAGAAGAAAAUGAUGAUAGUAAUUGUCGCCCCAGUCUUACAAGCAUCAACUCUUUGAUGCUUGAUGGUGUUUGACUACUAAUAUAUCUGAUUCUCUUCUUCACAUAAUAUUUUUUUCCUUUGCCUUUUGAUUUAUUGUUCAAGUACUGCUUGUUGAGCAUGCAAGAAAGAAAAUAUGAUGAUGCUUAUCAUAGAAAAUUCUGUCAUCAAACCAUGAUGAUCUCAAAAACAUGCACUACCAUCUGAUUUCUCUUGCACCCUUUUGCUCUGUUCUUGUUUCUUUUUUACUAUAUAAAUCUCUUCUUGAAGAUAAAAACUUCUGGUUUUUCAAACGUUUUUAUGCAAUCUGUGAUGUAAUUACUUACCCAGUAACUGAUUUUACAGUGAUUAACAUAUUUUACAAUCACCAUCUUUCGACUGAGAUUGCACAAUUUGCAAGACAAAACUCUGUGAUUUGAUUUAUGUAUGCCUGAGGUAUCUAAUGCCUAGAUUUCAUUUUCAUGGCUAUGUGUUUCGUAAAGAAGGCAGAAAGAAAACUAUAAGAACAGGUCUUGCGACACAGUUUGCUUCUUAUAAUAAGCUUGCUGUUACUUUAACCCUGUUCACAUUCUCUUUCUCUGGAUAGGAAAUCUAUCCCAAAAAUUGACAGUUCUUCCGUGGAUUGGAAGGGUGAAAUUAGGUAUUGAAAAGAAGAAAUUGACCAUCCCAUUAUUAUUAUUAUUCACAAAAGCAUGUGAAAUUUCCUUGCUCAAAUAACAAAGUUAAGGUACAAAUCCUGUUAGAAUGCAAUCUUACCUCAUUCAAAAGGAAAUAAACGGGACAGGUUUUUUGCUCUUCAUUUACAAAGAACAAUUGUAAAUCUCCAGAGCACUUGAAAAGGAGAGUGAUGAUUCGGAAUUUGUUCCUUAACAUGUACUAAAAAUUGAUACUGCAAUGAAAAAAGGAACUGGAUGUGGCAGGGUUUUUUCUCCCCAGUCCUUGUCUCGGCAAAGAACAAUUGUAAAUCCUAUAAUACUUAAAAAUGAGUGAUGAUUCGGAAGUUGUAACUCAACAUGUACUGCAAUGAAAAUCAGUUUUAAAACUUAACAGGAGUAGAACACAAGGAACUAGAGUCUAGGAACAGGAUAUUGUUCUUCUUUACAAAAGAUGGUAUAGUUUGAGCUGGUUAAAACCAGUGAACUAGUUACAAUUGGACGGUGGCAAUACUAUGAUAUAUGUGGAGAAUUGUUGACCUAUUCUGGUAUUUUAGUUCUAUGCAAAUGCACAACGCAGAUUUCAAAACAAAAUGGACGUAACUAAUAGUUGCUGUAUCAACAUUUGAUAAAACCAGAGUUACCACCAGUUAUCAAGGUCCCUUCUUACAAGCCCUCGGCAGUCCCUUCCUUAACCUCUUUAAAUCUCGCUUGCCAUCCCUCUCGGUUUGAUUAGAAUCUUCAUCGCUAAUACCUAUUACAAACCAAGUAUCAGAAACAGAUUCGAUAUGGUCACUGGUCACCAGUAAACCUGGAACAAUUUAACAGCGUUUGACAUGAGCAUAACCAAAAGUGGUUAAAAUGGGGAUUGUUCAUUGAAUCAAGCAUCAUAUUUUAACUGCAUGGUGAACAUCAUAAAAAUAGCAUAUCAUUCCAUAACAUAUCAGAAGUGAUAGAGUGGAAGUACACCAAGAAUUGGAUACUAACAUGCUGCAAUCCAACCAUGCUUUCAUGAAUUGAUGCACUAAAAGAAAAGGGAUAAAAAAAGAGAUACGACGACGAGCAAUGUGAUUGCAAAAAACAAAAUUUCCAUAAGUGUAGGCCAUCCCAGAAGAUAUUUUAAUUAUCUGGCGCAGCACAAAAUUUAUUAAUAAAAGACUUUGAUGGCUUACCAUCUGAACUGAUCAUAGCAUCAUCGUCAACAUCUUUUAUAUCCUGUCUAUUUUGUUUUGCAGACACUGUGAUCACCCCACGAUCAACCUUUUGCUCUGGGAUUUCACAUGAUCCAUUGAAAGGACCCAUAUAACAAAACCUGUUACAAUAGAAGCUUACAGUUAAAAAAAGAAGCAUUAUCACCUGUUCAACAAAAACAAGUAUACAAUCCAUGGACACCAAAAUGCAUAAAAAUGCAGACCAAUCCUUCUCAUAAUGAAUGUAAGUACAUGCAUGUCUGCUAAUAUUGUUCGAUAAAAUCUCUAGGUAGCCAAUGCAUAAUACAAUCAGAAUAUAAUAUACAGCAGGAAAAGAAAAAAUUGUUGCCAACAGAUGACAACAGGUAAGGACACAGGAGGAGCAGAAGGCAUGUUAAGACAAUGUCCCAUCCAAUUGAGAAGGACAACAUUGUCACAUUAAGCAAAGAUCUAUUAUGGUGAGAUGAAUAUUGGGGACUCAGAAAAGACUUUUCCCUUUACAGCGGAGGAUACUCCUGGAGUACGAUAGCAAGCCUCUCCCUGGUUGACAGCAUCCAGGACAAGGGGGUAUCAGUCAACCAUCCACCCUCAAAAUUCAAAUUUGAUGAAUUGAUCUCCUUGUCCUGCCAGGUCGCAAACUAUAUUCUACCAAGGAGCAAUGAAAAUUCAAAACAUUCCCAACAAAAGAAAUGGAUCCAGCUUCUACCAAGGAGCAAUGAAAAUUCAAAACAUUCCCAACAAAAGAAAUGGAUCCAGCUCUCCUAUACAACCACAAAGUUACUACAAAAUUGAUCUGGCUGAUAGCAGGAAUCGCAGCCCACAUAGAAUAGCCAAAAAAAAGGCAAAAGACAUCCUCCUGUCUUUUGACACAAGUAUUUCUCCAAAAGAGUGUUGGAUAAUAAUGAAUCAUGCUAUACAAGACAAGCACAAGAAAGAGUAUUCAAGGAUAUGAAUGAAUGAUCUACUGUGAACAAAUGAACAGUAAAACAUAUGAUGAAAUGCAAUUACCAUUCUUCAGGUAAUGUUUUAACAUCAAACCCCGAACUCAACAUCCUCCACUUCCUGCACUUAUCACACUGCACCCAUUCGUGGUCAGGUUUGUACAGGGAACCACCUUUUUUCUGGAGAAGUAAAGAGUGCAUAAAUGAAACAUGUCUAGGGAAACUGGAAAAAAAAGAAGGAAAUCCAUAAAGAUUCAUUAAGAACACACUAUGAGUGAAUGUAAAAAAAUGGGGAAACUGACAAGAAAAAGAACUUCUUGCCGCACCAUUGAAUAUUUGAAUCAAUCCCCUAAUCUAAGAUUGUUUCAUUUUAAAAAUACAUGGCAACCAGUCAUUGCCAAUCAAAAGAUAGUUCAUCUUCCCAAUACAUAACCUCUAUGCUUGCUAGUUACUACUGAAAUUUGGAAGACUAAAGUGUCUAGAAGAAAUAAACAACAUUUUUCUCAAAUAGAUUAUAGAAGAAAGUAGAACAAGGCAACAAGCUGCAUGUCUAAAAUAGAACGUCCCCACUACAUAUCACCAAGCCACUUGAGUUAAUUUCUUAGUUGGAUAGCAACACAGUAAGCCUGUUAUGUCGCAUCAUCAACCCACCAUUCA
This 8797-nucleotide long non-coding RNA is filed under the name Populus trichocarpa (black cottonwood). The record is from RNAcentral. Lineage: Eukaryota; Viridiplantae; Streptophyta; Magnoliopsida; Malpighiales; Salicaceae.